This is a long non-coding RNA of Nyctereutes procyonoides (raccoon dog), 2404 nucleotides long. RefSeq lists it as uncharacterized. NCBI's taxonomy places the organism in Eukaryota, Metazoa, Chordata, Mammalia, Carnivora, Canidae. The transcript is spliced from 3 exons. The record is from RefSeq and is a predicted model, not a curated record.
CUAGGGGAGACCAAAGAGAAUAAAACAGUACCUCUGCCCUCAGCAUCUUCCCAUCUACUGUGAGAUUCAGAUAACCAGCCACAUUACAGAGACUAACCACUGACACAAAGUUGACAGCAGUGACAACUGGAUAUCCCUGUAUGGUUCAGUCUGAAAAUCAGAGUAUAAGCCAUGGCAGACAUGAGAAUGCCAAUUGGAUAAUCCUUCAAGAAAAGAACCUGCCCAAUUGCUAUGAGUAAGGACAUCUGCCAGCUGCCAGCUGUUAUCUCCCUCAGGGUCUACUUUGGUUUUUAAAGCUAAGGUCAAACUCUUCUUGGAGAAACCUCCUUGGCCAAUGUCUAAGCAAAACAGUGGUAACUGAUUGCAUGCUCUUCUUAGAGUAGCUCCCCGCUAGCAACUGAAACAAAUAGAGGGACAAGGGCUCUCCCAAAGGGAAGUCUUUGCUCUGGUAUGCCUUUUGGGACACAGAGACUUGGGGUCAAGUUGCCAUUGUGGUCUGAUGCAGGAUAACUUCCUGACCUGCAGGGGAAGUUAUGGAGAUGUUAAUAAAACAUGGCAUUCUUAGGGACAAAAUAGCUGGGAACCAACAGAGGUGUAUGUAUUAUGAUCUCUUGUGAUUUUGGGGUAUUUUCUAAUGACCUUAAAAAAACUUGAUUUCUAGUUUUAUUCCAUAUUUUGUGUGAUUUUUAUAUUUUUUUAUUAUUUUUUUAUUUUUAUCUUUUGAAAUUUAUUGAGACUUGCUUUAUGGCCUAGCAUGCAGUCCAUCUUGAUCAAUGUUCCAGGUGCUCCUGUAAAGAAUCCAUAGUUUAUAGUUGUUGAAUUUUGUUUACUACCCAAGUCAAUUUGAUCAACUUGGUUAAUCAUAUUGUUUAAAUUUGCUGUAUUCUUGUUGAUAUUUUUAUCUGUUUGGUCUAUCAGGUACUGAGAGAGAGUAUUAAAAUCCCCAAUUAUUUUAACCAAAUACCUGCCCACUGAUGUCUGUAGCAGCUUUAUUAAAAAUUUCCAAAACUUUGAACCAAUCAAGAUGUCCCUCAGUAGGUGAAUUAAUAAAUUGUGGUACAUCUAGAUAAUGGAAUAUUAUUCAAUGCUAAAAAGAAAUGAGCUAUUGAGCCAUAAAAAGACAUGAAGGAAACUUAAAUGUAUGUUACUAAGUGAAAAAAGCCAAUCUGAAAAGGCUAUUUACUGUAUGAUCCCAAUUAUAUGACAUUCUGGGAAAGGCAAAAUAAUGAAGGCAGUAAAAAACAAUGGAGCAGUGUUUUCUAGGAGUUAGAGGGGAGGGAGGGAUGAAUGGGCAGAGCACAGAUGAUUUUGUGGACAGCAAGACUAUCCUGUAGGAUAUGGUAAUGGUGGAUACGUGCCAUUAUACAUUUGUCCAAACCUGCAGAACCAAGAGUGAAUCCUCAGCUAGGUUAAUUAUAGACUUUGGGUGAUAAUGAUGCAUUCAUUAAUUAAGGUUUAUUGAUUAUAACAAAUGUAUCACUUGGGGUGAGAGGAAUGUUGAUAAUGAAUGUGUUAUGAAUGUGUGGGGCAAGAGGGUUAUUGGAAAUCUCUGUGCCUUCCCUUCAAUUUUGCUGUAAAUCUAAAACUACUCUAAGAACUAACAUCUAUUUUAAAAAGUCAAGGGAAGGAGAGUUGACUGGGAAGGGGUUUUAGAGGAGCUUCUGUGGUACAAAUAGUGUUAUUUUUUUUUUUAACUGCCUGUGUUCACUGUGUGUGAAUCCAACUGUAUGGUCAUGAAAACAAUUUCCAAUUAUGACUGGAAAAGAAAAUCUGUCUCUCUUUUUAGCUCUGUCAUUUACUUUUUAUAUUUUGAUUUACUUUUAUAUUACUUUUACUUUUUAUAUUAUGAUUUCUAUGUUGUCCUUCUGAAUUUACCCUUUUAUCUUUAUGAAAUGUCCCUCUUUAUCUAGGAACAAUUUUUGCCCUAAAUACUACUUUUCUGAUAUCAACAUAACAUCUCCAGCUACCUUUUGGUUACUGUUUCCAUGAUAUGUAUAUUUUACCUUUGUAUUUGCAUCUUUGUAAAUAGCAUGUAAUUGUGUCUUGUUUGUAUAAUUCAUUUGUAAUUUAAGUACAUCAUGGUCAUUAAAUUUGGGCUGUAUGAUACCAAUUCUUUAAAAUGCAUUGAGGUCCAACAUGUGAUAAAUUUUCAUAAAUGCUUCCUGUAUAUUUGAAUGUUAUAUGUUGUCCAUUUGAACAAUGGACAUUAUUUAUUGUGCUGUUCCAAUAUUCUAUAUCUUUUCCGAUUUUAUUGUUUCUCAAUUUACCAAGUACUAACAGAGGAGUAAAAGUUCCUACUAUAAAUGUGGACUUAACAGUUUCUCUUCGUAGAUCUGUCAGUUUCUACUUCAUAUAGUUUGAGGCUGAUUGUGUUAUUAACUGCAUACAAAUUUAGAAUUGUGGU